This 232-nucleotide unclassified non-coding RNA is filed under the name uncultured Russula. Its description in RNAcentral is "sequence contains ITS2". The record is from RNAcentral. Lineage: Eukaryota; Fungi; Basidiomycota; Agaricomycetes; Russulales; Russulaceae.
AAUUCUCAAACCUUCUCGGUUUUUCAACCAAGAAGGCUUUGGACUUUGGAGGUAUUUUGCUGGCUUCAUGCAGAGCCAGCUCCUCUUAAAUGCAUUAGUGGGGUCCCCUUUGCCGGUCCUCUGACGUGAUAAGCCAUUUCUACGUCCUGGGAUUUGCUCUGUUUCUUGGGAACCUGCUUCCAACCGUCUCACAUGAGACGUCGUUCGAGCUCGCUCGCUCGACCCCAUGAAC